RNAcentral lists this long non-coding RNA (1203 nucleotides) under Taeniopygia guttata (zebra finch). RNAcentral's name for it is "lncRNA (ENSTGUG00000021387.1)". Lineage: Eukaryota; Metazoa; Chordata; Aves; Passeriformes; Estrildidae. The record is from RNAcentral.
AAAACUCCCACAGAAUUCAAAACAACUUUAAUAAGUAUAUGAAGCAUAUAUCUUUUAAAAAUUUUAAAUCUUUGUUAAUAACAGAGAAAUAAUAAUUUACAGAAUAUAAUUAAUAAUGCACUUAAAGUUGACGUUCUUGUUCAGAUUCUUCCUGGAAAAUGCCAAGAAGAUAAAUAUGCACAGGAAAGAGAACAAAAAAGGCAGAAAGGCAAUGUCAGAAGUGAAGAGGAGGAAGGAACAAGAACAGAAACGGGAAAAGAUCAGUAGGAACAAAUGGAAAAAGCGAAGGUGGAUCUGGAAAAGGAACAACAGAAGAGCACGGAGGAUAUGUGGUUAGUGAGGAUAAGGUUUUCAUUUGAGAAGGGAACAUUUGAAUGGAAUGAUGACAGAACUACUGUUAUCUUUGCUUUUCUUUUGCAAGCCAGGAAAAAACAUAGACAACAACAAAGCAUCUUCUAACAUUACAGAAGACUAACAACAGAGUGUGAAGAAGCAGCAAACCUGCUUCAGCACUCCCGGGCAAAUUCCAAACGAGAGUAUAACAACACAAACCUUUUAAUCUCAAACAUAUGUAUAGAUAAAGUUCCAUCUUUUAGCAGCAUAUUAGAUAUUUCUUAAUUUUAGUAUUGCAUGUAUGUCUACUAAAUUAACUUUUAAAAAACAUUUUAAUCCAUUUGUCAUUACUCUGUAUUCUGACUUUUCAAAGUCUUUGUUGAUAAUGAAAAAAAUCAGUCUCAACAGUGAAUCAAAGUCAUUAUGCAAAUUUAAGUUUUCAACUUAUUGUACCUAGCUUACAGUGAGUUCAUGAAGGUGAUAUUCCACACUUUCCAAACAACACUAAACCCACUACUGAGUGUUUUGCCUGACAAAAACCUCACAUGGUUAUAAAGAUCUCGUAGCAAUGUAGGUUAUUCCUUAAUGAUAUAAGCAUAUUAUACUAAAAAAAAAGUCAUUAAGAGCACUUUUGUUCUUUACCUGUGCUGACAUAGCUUUAGGAAAAAGCCCAAACCCAACCAAUACUUGAGGCAAAGCUCUAGGAAACCGAUCAGUAUCUUUAUACUUACAAGCUCGUAUAAUGUUUACAUUCCUAAACAGCUCAUGAGAUGCUCUGCUUACACAAAACAGCGCAUUUGACACCAUCUCACGGCUUCGCGUCCAUCGGGUAAUUUGUCAUUGGAACGGCAUUUCCCGGGAACAACAGCG